This 466-nucleotide ribosomal RNA is filed under the name uncultured bacterium. RNAcentral describes it as "bacterial SSU rRNA". It matches the Rfam family "Bacterial small subunit ribosomal RNA", at positions 330 to 794 of the family's 1533-position model. The record is from RNAcentral.
CCCAGACUCCUACGGGAGGCAGCAGUGAGGAAUAUUGGUCAAUGGGCGAGAGCCUGAACCAGCCAAGUCGCGUGAGGGAGUACUGCCCUAUGGGUUGUAAACCUCUUUUGUCGGGGAGCAAAAGCCGGACGUGUCCGGCUGUGAGAGUACCCGAAGAAAAAGCAUCGGCUAACUCCGUGCCAGCAGCCGCGGUAAUACGGAGGAUGCGAGCGUUAUCCGGAUUUAUUGGGUUUAAAGGGUGCGCAGGCGGAGGUGCAAGUCAGCGGUCAAAUUGCGGGGCUCAACCCCGUACUGCCGUUGAAACUGCAUCCCUUGAGUGCGCGAGAAGUAUGCGGAAUGCGUGGUGUAGCGGUGAAAUGCAUAGAUAUCGCGCAGAACCCCGAUUGCGAAGGCAGCGUGCCGUGCCGCCACUGACGCUGAGGCACGAAAGCGCGGGGAUCGAACAGGAUUAGAUACCCCUGUACGG